This 377-nucleotide ribosomal RNA is filed under the name uncultured eukaryote. RNAcentral's name for it is "partial 18S ribosomal RNA". It matches the Rfam family "Eukaryotic small subunit ribosomal RNA", at positions 592 to 976 of the family's 1831-position model. The record is from RNAcentral.
CAAUAGCGUAUAUUAAAGUUGUUGCAGUUAAAAAGCUCGUAGUUGGAUUUCGGGUGGGAAUGGCCGGUCCGCCGUUUCGGUGUGCACUUGCUACGCCCACCUUGCUGCCGGGGACGUGCUCUUGAGUUCACGCUCGGGACACGGAGUCGGCGAGGUUACUUUGAGUAAAUUAGAGUGUUCAAAGCAGGCCUACGCUCUGAAUACAUUAGCAUGGAAUAACACGAUAGGACUCUGGCCUAUCUUGUUGGUCUGUAGGACCGGAGUAAUGAUUAAGAGGGACAGUCGGGGGCAUUCGUAUUUCAUUGUCAGAGGUGAAAUUCUUGGAUUUAUGAAAGACGAACUACUGCGAAAGCAUUUACCAAGGAUGUUUUCAUUAA